ACUAGUACGGCGAGUGAGCGGGAAGAGCUCAAAUUUAAAUCUGGCAGGCUACGCUUGUCCGAAUUGUAAUCUCGAGAAGUGUUUUCCGCGUUGGCCUGUGUACAAGUCCCUUGGAACAGGGCGUCAUAGAGGGUGAGAAUCCCGUCCUUGACACAAACACCCAAUGCUUUGUGAUACACUCUCAAUGAGUCUAGUUGUUUGGGAAUGCAGCUCAGAAUGGGUGGUAAAUUCCAUCUAAAGCUAAAUACUGGCGAGAGACCGAUAGCGAACAAGUACCGGGAGGGAAAGAUGAAAAGCACUUUGGAAAGAGAGUCAAACAGUACGUGAAAUUGUUGAAAGGGAAACGAUUGAAGUCAGUCGUGCCUGCCUAGUCUCACCCUUUUGGUGUACUACUAGGUCGGCAGGUCAGCAUCAGUUUGGGAGGAUUAACAAGGGAGCUAGGAAUGUGGCAACCUCGGUUGUGUUAUAGCCUAGUUUCGCAUUGAUCUUGCUGGACUGAGGAACGCAAUGCGCCCGCAAGGGUUGGUCUUCGGACACAUUCGCACUUAGGAUGCUGGCAUAAUGGCUUUAAAAGACCCGUCUUGAAACACGGACCA
This 596-nucleotide ribosomal RNA is filed under the name Cystofilobasidium macerans. Its description in RNAcentral is "eukaryotic LSU rRNA". It matches the Rfam family "Eukaryotic large subunit ribosomal RNA", at positions 79 to 668 of the family's 3401-position model. Lineage: Eukaryota; Fungi; Basidiomycota; Tremellomycetes; Cystofilobasidiales; Cystofilobasidiaceae. The record is from RNAcentral.